Molecule: long non-coding RNA, 500 nt
Filed under: Sorghum bicolor (sorghum)
Lineage: Eukaryota; Viridiplantae; Streptophyta; Magnoliopsida; Poales; Poaceae
Description: long non-coding RNA (SBIC_LNC010578)
Source: RNAcentral
GUUGCUAGGUCUUGUUAGAGUCGAGUUCGUGUGUUUUUCCCCACCAUUUCCAUCAAUUUUUAGCCAUCGCCGCAAAUUUUUCCCACUUCCGGACCGUUUUGUCCUCUAAUUCGGAGUCCGUUCGUAAAACAACCAUAACUUUCGCAUACGAACUCCGAUUUUGACGUUCCAUAUAUCAAAAUCGCUCAGAAAAAAAUUCAGAUCUGUCUGUCCCCACUGUACGCGGGUUCGACAAUUUUAGAAUCCCCAAAUUUUCCUCUGAAGUUUGAGUUUUCACCUCCUGAAGUUUUUUACACAUUUUUAUAAUCUUCAUAAAAUUUCAGAGGCCACGUCUUUCACUUGUUUAAGCUCAAUUUUCAAUGGUUACUUCUGUAAUGCUCCUAAGUAAAAGAAAAAUAUCAAAAAAUAAAAAGAGUUGCAGGGUUUUGGAUCGUGUUGUUUGGAAGCCGGAUUGAUUUGUGUCUCGUUUCCACCAAAUCGAGAGUUACCAGAUCCUUUCA